This 472-nucleotide ribosomal RNA is filed under the name uncultured bacterium. Its description in RNAcentral is "bacterial SSU rRNA". It matches the Rfam family "Bacterial small subunit ribosomal RNA", at positions 28 to 507 of the family's 1533-position model. The record is from RNAcentral.
GACGAACGCUGGUGGCGUGCCUACACAUGCAAGUCAACGGGGUGUCCUUCGGGGACACUUAGUGGCGAACGGGUGAGUAACGCGUGAGAAACCUGCCUUUCAGUGGGGGACAACAGUUGGAAACGACUGCUAAUACCGCAUAAGCGCACAGUAUCGCAUGGUACGGUGUGAAAAACUCCGGUGGUAUGAGAUGGACCCGCGUCUGAUUAGCUAGUUGGUGAGGUAACGGCUCACCAAGGCGACGAUCAGUAGCCGGCCUGAGAGGGUGAACGGCCACAUUGGGACUGAGACACGGCCCAAACUCCUACGGGAGGCAGCAGUGGGGAAUAUUGCACAAUGGGGGAAACCCUGAUGCAGCGACGCCGCGUGAGUGAAGAAGUAUUUCGGUACGUAAAGCUCUAUCAGCAAGGAAGAAAUACCGACCUUUGGUCGCUAGACGGUACUUGACUAAGAAGCCCCGGCUAAUUACGUG